ACGAACGCUGGCGGCAUGCCUAACACCUGCAAGUCGCACGAGACCUUCGGGUCUAGUGGCGCACGGGUGCGUAACGCGUGGGAACCUGCCCUUAGGUUCGGAAUAACUCCCCGAAAGGGGUGCUAAUACCGGAUAAUGUCUUCGGACCAAAGAUUUAUCGCCUUUGGAUGGGCCCGCGUUGGAUUAGCUAGUUGGUAGGGUAAAAGCCUACCAAGGCGACGAUCCAUAGCUGGUCUGAGAGGAUGAUCAGCCACACUGGGACUGAGACACGGCCCAGACUCCUACGGGAGGCAGCAGUGGGGAAUAUUGGACAAUGGGCGAAAGCCUGAUCCAGCAAUGCCGCGUGAGUGAUGAAGGCCUUAGGGUUGUAAAGCUCUUUUACCCGGGAUGAUAAUGACAGUACCGGGAGAAUAAGCGCCGGCUAACUCCGUG
Molecule: ribosomal RNA, 432 nt
Filed under: uncultured bacterium
Lineage: Bacteria
Description: partial 16S ribosomal RNA
Rfam family: Bacterial small subunit ribosomal RNA
Source: RNAcentral